Long non-coding RNA from Lutra lutra (Eurasian river otter), 313 nucleotides. RefSeq lists it as uncharacterized. Lineage: Eukaryota; Metazoa; Chordata; Mammalia; Carnivora; Mustelidae. The record is from RefSeq and is a predicted model, not a curated record. The transcript is spliced from 2 exons.
AUGGACCACCAUCUCCAUGGCCAUUCGUACUCUGUGGACUUGGAGAGAUGCGCAGAAAGUCCUAACAGUGGCAACAGAAGCUCACUUCAGAAGCUCUGGAAAACAACAGGAAAGUACCACGAAGAAAGCAAAGAUCACCCCAAAUUCCCCCACCCAGAAGCAGCUCGUUCCCUACUCCAUUUAACACUCUCCUUCCUUCAGCCAACCUCAGAACGCAAAUGCCGCACCAUACCCCAAAGCCAAAGGCCCAGGCGACAACCUCACAUGCAGAAUUAAAAAAUGCCCAGGCUCAGGGCAGCUGGGUGGCUCAGUC